GACGAACGCUGGCGGCGUGCUUAACACAUGCAAGUCGAACGGAAAGGCCCUGCUUUUGUGGGGUGCUCGAGUGGCGAACGGGUGAGUAACACGUGAGUAACCUGCCCUUGACUUUGGGAUAACUUCAGGAAACUGGGGCUAAUACCGGAUAGGAGCUCCUGCUGCAUGGUUGGGGUUGGAAAGUUUCUGCGGUUGGGGAUGGACUCGCGGCUUAUCAGCUUGUUGGUGGGGUAGUGGCUUACCAAGGCUUUGACGGGUAGCCGGCCUGAGAGGGUGACCGGCCACAUUGGGACUGAGAUACGGCCCAGACUCCUACGGGAGGCAGCAGUGGGGAAUAUUGCACAAUGGGCGGAAGCCUGAUGCAGCAACGCCGCGUGGGGGAUGACGGCCUUCGGGUUGUAAACCGCUUUCGCCUGUGACGAAGCGUGAGUGACGGUAAUGGGUAAAGAAGCACCGGCUAACUACGUG
Molecule: ribosomal RNA, 468 nt
Filed under: uncultured bacterium
Lineage: Bacteria
Description: partial 16S ribosomal RNA
Rfam family: Bacterial small subunit ribosomal RNA
Source: RNAcentral